RNAcentral lists this ribosomal RNA (250 nucleotides) under uncultured bacterium. RNAcentral describes it as "partial 16S ribosomal RNA". It matches the Rfam family "Bacterial small subunit ribosomal RNA", at positions 524 to 773 of the family's 1533-position model. The record is from RNAcentral.
CACGAACCGUCCAAACGUUAUUCGGAAUCAUUGGGCUUAAAGGGUGCGUAGGCGGACCAUUAAGUCGGGUGUGAAAUCCUUCGGCUCAACCGAAGAAUUGCGCCCGAUACUGGUGGUCUUGAGGGAGACAGGGGUGAACGGAACUGAUGGUGGAGCGGUGAAAUGCGUUGAUAUCAUCAGGAACACCGGUGGCGAAAGCGGUUCACUGGGUCUCUUCUGACGCUGAGGCACGAAAGCUAGGGUAGCGAAC